CACGGCUCACAUGUGUGAGGGAUGAUCAGCACCAUCAUCAUCUUCAUUCUGCCCGUCAUUUCCAGCAUCAUCAGGAUUAUCAUGCAAGUGCUAUUUCACAUGUGUUAUCUUCCAGAUUGGACGCCCAGCUCAGCCCAGAGAAGACAAACAGCCUCCCUCGACUCUGUUGACAUCCGCUGAAUGUCAGAGCUAGCAGAGACCAAGUUCUCUGCUCCUCAGGGUGUCCCCUCAGCAGUCGACUGAGACACAUAAUGACCUAGGAAGAAACCAUUGAGAGCAUGAGGCUUACGCCAAGCUCCUCAGAGGAAGGCUCAGCUGAGUGCCCCCUAUCUGGCUCACCUUCACCCUUUCACUUCGACCUCAUCUUUAACUUCCAACUCCAAGACUUUCCGCACUUAAGCAAAACAUCCUGGACUGUCUCCACAGACCCCCCUCCACCAGCUCUAGGGGAAACCCUAAACCUCAAAGUGAAAAUAAGGGGCCCAUUUGCCCCCAGGAAAUUAGACACAAACAAGCCUGGGGUGAACCGCUGGGCCAAAACUGUUUCUCCGGAUUAGUCACAGUUACCCAUUCACCAACGUCUCCCCAGCCCCCUACCCGCCUCAGCAGGCUACCCCUUCAGCCCCAGCUCAUCUGGAAGGCUGGCCUGGCCACCAGCAAGACCAGAUGAACAGCGGGUAAAGAGGGGAAGCUGGGGGAGGGAUGUGGCCUAGGAAACCGCAGUGACCUUCCAUCUGGGUGGGGCUUCUCAUUUCUUAUUUUAUCCUCUCGCUAAACUGUUCGAGAAACUGCUUGUCAGCACCUCUGCUUCCUUCCUGCCUACUAGGAGGCUUUACAGGCUUCAUAGGAGGAGGGUGGUGGCCCCAGUCCCGUCUUCACUCUCUAGGGGAAGGAGGCAUUGUUCUUGUG
This is a long non-coding RNA of Bubalus bubalis (water buffalo), 909 nucleotides long. RefSeq lists it as uncharacterized. The record is from RefSeq and is a predicted model, not a curated record. Lineage: Eukaryota; Metazoa; Chordata; Mammalia; Artiodactyla; Bovidae. The transcript is spliced from 3 exons.